This 1552-nucleotide ribosomal RNA is filed under the name Salmonella enterica subsp. enterica serovar Typhimurium. RNAcentral describes it as "bacterial SSU rRNA". It matches the Rfam family "Bacterial small subunit ribosomal RNA". Lineage: Bacteria; Pseudomonadati; Pseudomonadota; Gammaproteobacteria; Enterobacterales; Enterobacteriaceae. The record is from RNAcentral.
AAAUUGAAGAGUUUGAUCAUGGCUCAGAUUGAACGCUGGCGGCAGGCCUAACACAUGCAAGUCGAACGGUAACAGGAAGCAGCUUGCUGCUUCGCUGACGAGUGGCGGACGGGUGAGUAAUGUCUGGGAAACUGCCUGAUGGAGGGGGAUAACUACUGGAAACGGUGGCUAAUACCGCAUAACGUCGCAAGACCAAAGAGGGGGACCUUAGGGCCUCUUGCCAUCAGAUGUGCCCAGAUGGGAUUAGCUUGUUGGUGAGGUAACGGCUCACCAAGGCGACGAUCCCUAGCUGGUCUGAGAGGAUGACCAGCCACACUGGAACUGAGACACGGUCCAGACUCCUACGGGAGGCAGCAGUGGGGAAUAUUGCACAAUGGGCGCAAGCCUGAUGCAGCCAUGCCGCGUGUAUGAAGAAGGCCUUCGGGUUGUAAAGUACUUUCAGCGGGGAGGAAGGUGUUGUGGUUAAUAACCGCAGCAAUUGACGUUACCCGCAGAAGAAGCACCGGCUAACUCCGUGCCAGCAGCCGCGGUAAUACGGAGGGUGCAAGCGUUAAUCGGAAUUACUGGGCGUAAAGCGCACGCAGGCGGUCUGUCAAGUCGGAUGUGAAAUCCCCGGGCUCAACCUGGGAACUGCAUUCGAAACUGGCAGGCUUGAGUCUUGUAGAGGGGGGUAGAAUUCCAGGUGUAGCGGUGAAAUGCGUAGAGAUCUGGAGGAAUACCGGUGGCGAAGGCGGCCCCCUGGACAAAGACUGACGCUCAGGUGCGAAAGCGUGGGGAGCAAACAGGAUUAGAUACCCUGGUAGUCCACGCCGUAAACGAUGUCUACUUGGAGGUUGUGCCCUUGAGGCGUGGCUUCCGGAGCUAACGCGUUAAGUAGACCGCCUGGGGAGUACGGCCGCAAGGUUAAAACUCAAAUGAAUUGACGGGGGCCCGCACAAGCGGUGGAGCAUGUGGUUUAAUUCGAUGCAACGCGAAGAACCUUACCUGGUCUUGACAUCCACAGAACUUUCCAGAGAUGGAUUGGUGCCUUCGGGAACUGUGAGACAGGUGCUGCAUGGCUGUCGUCAGCUCGUGUUGUGAAAUGUUGGGUUAAGUCCCGCAACGAGCGCAACCCUUAUCCUUUGUUGCCAGCGAUUAGGUCGGGAACUCAAAGGAGACUGCCAGUGAUAAACUGGAGGAAGGUGGGGAUGACGUCAAGUCAUCAUGGCCCUUACGACCAGGGCUACACACGUGCUACAAUGGCGCAUACAAAGAGAAGCGACCUCGCGAGAGCAAGCGGACCUCAUAAAGUGCGUCGUAGUCCGGAUUGGAGUCUGCAACUCGACUCCAUGAAGUCGGAAUCGCUAGUAAUCGUGGAUCAGAAUGCCACGGUGAAUACGUUCCCGGGCCUUGUACACACCGCCCGUCACACCAUGGGAGUGGGUUGCAAAAGAAGUAGGUAGCUUAACCUUCGGGAGGGCGCUUACCACUUUGUGAUUCAUGACUGGGGUGAAGUCGUAACAAGGUAACCGUAGGGGAACCUGCGGUUGGAUCACCUCCUUACCUUAAAGAA